Chinchilla lanigera (long-tailed chinchilla) is the source of this 1878-nucleotide long non-coding RNA. RefSeq lists it as uncharacterized. The transcript is spliced from 3 exons. The record is from RefSeq and is a predicted model, not a curated record. Lineage: Eukaryota; Metazoa; Chordata; Mammalia; Rodentia; Chinchillidae.
UGACAAUGGCUCCCUCGCCCCAGACUCUCCGCUCCUGACACCCCAAGAUAUGAUCGCUCAAGCGUGGCGUCUGCAGGGCGGUUGGUGCCCAGACUCCGCAGGCCCCAGGACUGCCAGACGUCAGAGCUGAACAUCUGGUCGACCCAAUGCGGCUGCCUCCUGCUUCCCAGUGCAAAGGAGCUGGCAGCACAGUGUGUUCUCCGGGGGGCCACUGUAGGAGCUGGGUCCAUGUGGGCAUCAGGACAGCCAAGCUGAGCCCUCACUCUGCCCCCAAGGGUGGCGUAACCACGUCCCAUGAGCCGGGAGCACCGAGCAGCAGCAGCGGCGAUGCCCUCUCCCUCAGCUCAGGAGCAGGAACUGAGCUCCGCGGGCCACCCCGGCUCUGGGGCCCUUCUUGUGCCACUGGCGCUGACCUCAGUUGGUGGCGGCCCUGGGCUGAUAGCUGAUCACCCUGAUCUCUGCCUCCCUUGUCACACGGGCGCCCCUCCCUGUGUGCGUCUGUUUUCUUCACAUGAGGUCACCAGGCCCUGGGGGAGGUCCUCCCUGACCCGGUGUGACACCGGUUUCGCAGAACGAAUAACACCUGCAAACACUCACUUUCCAAGAGCUCGCAUUCUGAGGCUCCGGGUGACAUGGAUUUUGGAGAACAUUUCUUCAGCACAGUCUAGCCUCCUUGAAGAAAGUUUGGGGAAGGGACAAGCACAAAUCAUUACAACAGAUGAACCCACUGUGGAAGGACAGCAGGGGACCACGUCACACAGCACUGCCCCUGGAAAUCCCCUGAACGCCUGCCCGCGCCAGCAAGGAGUCACCGGUCACGCUGGGUGACGCAGGGAGCCAGCGGGACUCAUCCUCAGUCUUCGCACGGGCCUGGAGUGGGUGGACGGCAGAUGCCGCACCUCCCUGAGGUGGGGUCCCCACCGAGGCGACCCUGUCCACCACCCGAGAGCGCUGAGAGGAAGUGACAGAAACCGAACAGCAGGGUCACAUCUGCCCCUGGCCAUUUCAGCCCUGCUCUCCAAGGGGGCCUUGUGACAGGGGAGUGGCGUCGGCAUAUUUACAAAUAAACGAUCCCCGCCUGGCUGUGACAGCCAGCUCCCCACCCUCCAGGCUGACCCCAGCAGCUCUGCGGGCGGGCCGGGAGGGACUGGACUCAGACGCUGGUCUGCAGCGACACGGUGCCAGGCUCUCCCGCUGCUGGGAAGCGGGGCUUGCAGGCCGCCUGGCUUGCUUGCAGCCGCAGCCUCCUUGGAAAGUUCUCCCCCAGCCCCCGCCCCACUCCGGGCUGCGGCGGCGGAAGGAUCAUCGUCCACCAGCCUGCAGGCGGAGCUGCCCCACACGCAAGGCUGGGCCAGCGCUGGCUUUGGCUGAGAGGUCCCAGGUCAGAAAGAGCCGCCCGGAAGGUGGCAGGUUUCAUGGGCUGCUAUGGCCUAGGGAGUCCCUGAAUGAGCGGGCAGCUGAACCCCGAGCCCUGUGUCCCUGAGGUUAGGCUACCUGUCCUCGGCCAGCGUGGCCCAUGCCCAGGGGCCCGAUUGCAGCCGGAUGCUGCCUUUCGACCUGUGAGGAUCCGGCCUGCGGAAGGCCCUGGCUGUCGGGAAGCCGCCCACGCUGACGCCCUCGCCAUCAGAGUAGAGAUGGCUGCGCUUUGCCCAGCGUAUUCAGAACACGAAACCCAACACGUGUGCUUUGGUCAGAGCCUCUCCUCCCACCAGCCUCCGUAAGCGAUCCGCACAUUUGAAGAACAACACUGACUUCUGUGGCCCUUUUGGGGAUCUUAAGUAUGACCUGUCACCAGACAAAUGCACAGGGUGAUCAAAUGAAAGGGUGCACAUUUAUGCUUUCAAAAAAUUUAUUAUAGGGGCUGGGGAUGUAGCUCAG